UACAUGGGGUGCAAACGUUGCUCGGAAUUAUUGGGCGUAAAGCGCGCGUAGGCGGUUACUCAAGUCGGAUGUGAAAGCCCUCGGCUUAACUGAGGAAGUGCACCCGAAACUGAGUAGCUAGAGUACUAAAGAGGGUCGCGGAAUUCCCGGUGUAGAGGUAAAUUCGUAGAUAUCGGGAGGAACACCGGUGGCGAAGGCAGGUCUCUGGGCUGACACUGACGCUCAUGCACGAAAGCGUGGGGAGCAAACAGG
Molecule: ribosomal RNA, 252 nt
Filed under: uncultured bacterium
Lineage: Bacteria
Description: partial 16S ribosomal RNA
Rfam family: Bacterial small subunit ribosomal RNA
Source: RNAcentral